Molecule: non-coding RNA, 444 nt
Organism: Leopardus geoffroyi (Geoffroy's cat)
Lineage: Eukaryota; Metazoa; Chordata; Mammalia; Carnivora; Felidae
Source: the annotation of a RefSeq genome assembly
AUGGACUGGAGCUGGAGAAUCCUCUACUGGUGGCAGUGGCGACAGGUAAGGGUCAGCCAAGUCCCUGGACACAGGAGAGGAUCAGGACCAGUCACCAUUGAUUUCAUCCACUCUUGUCCCCUCUCUACAGGUGGGCACUCCCAGGUAUUGCUGGUGCAGUCUGGGGCUGAAGUGAGGACACCUGGGGCAUCAGUGAAGAUCUCCUGCAAAGCAUCUGGAUACAGCUUCACUGAUUACCAUAUGCACUGGGUGCGACAGGCUCCUGCACAAGGGCUUGAGUGGAUGGGAAGAAUUGACCCUGAAGAUGGUGCUACAAGCUAUGCACAGAAGUUCCAGGGCAGACUCAUCCUGACAGCAGACACAUCCACAAACACAGCCUACAUGGAGCUGAGCAGUCUGAGGUCUGCAGACACGGCCAUGUAUUACUGUGCAAGGACACAGUGA